GACGAACGCUGGCGGCGUGCUUAACACAUGCAAGUCGAACGGUGAAGCGCCUUCCUUUUUGGUGGGUGUGGAUGAGUGGCGAACUGGUGAGUAACACGUGAGUAACCUGCCCCCUUCUUCUGGAUAACCGCAUGAAAGUGUGGCUAAUACGGGAUAUUCUGGGUCUGUCGCAUGAUGGGUCUGGGAAAGAUAUUGUUUCGGUGGGGGAUGGGCUCGCGGCCUAUCAGCUUGUUGGUGGGGUGAUGGCCUACCAAGGCGGUGACGGGUAGCCGGCUUGAGAGGGUGGACGGUCACACUGGGACUGAGACACGGCCCAGACUCCUACGGGAGGCAGCAGUGGGGAAUAUUGCACAAUGGGCGCAAGCCUGAUGCAGCGACGCCGCGUGAGGGAUGGAGGCCUUCGGGUUGUGAACCUCUUUCGCCAGUGAAGCAGGCCUGCCUCGUUUGUGGGUGGGUUGACGGUAGCUGGAUAAGAAGCGCCGGCUAACUACGUG
RNAcentral lists this ribosomal RNA (494 nucleotides) under uncultured bacterium. Its description in RNAcentral is "partial 16S ribosomal RNA". It matches the Rfam family "Bacterial small subunit ribosomal RNA", at positions 28 to 507 of the family's 1533-position model. The record is from RNAcentral.